This 1225-nucleotide ribosomal RNA is filed under the name uncultured fungus. RNAcentral describes it as "eukaryotic LSU rRNA". The stretch from base 590 to 1225 matches the Rfam family "Eukaryotic large subunit ribosomal RNA", at positions 1 to 649 of the family's 3401-position model. The record is from RNAcentral. Lineage: Eukaryota; Fungi.
AAGUCGUAACAAGGUUUCCGUAGGUGAACCUGCGGAAGGAUCAUUAUAGAAUCAUAUCUUCUGAUAUGUCUAUUCACCCCGUGUCUACUUCAUCCUGUUCCUUCCAUGAGUUAGGUGUAUUGAAUGCGUUUGAUAUAUUCUUAUGUUGAUAUUCAGGUGAUAUCAUUAACUCAUGAACAUCUUCCAGUAAGGCAUUUUGUUUUCGCUGGAUAGAUAAACCAAUCAAAUAGCUGUGUAGAAUAAUCAGAAUCUAUAUACAAAAGUUAAAACUUUCAACAAUGGAUCUCUUGGCUCUUGCAUCGAUGAAGAACGCAGUGAAAUGUGAUACGUAAUGUGAAUUGCAGAAUCUCGUGAAUCAUUGAAUUUUUGAACGCAUAUUGCGCCCUAUGGUAUUCCGUAGGGCAUGCCUGUCUGAGUGUCAGUUAUAACCAUCGAGCAUUUGUUUGCUUGGAUAUUUGGGGCAUGCAAUUAAUACUUGCAGUCCAGAAAACUAUUAGCAGUAACCGUAGAAAUACAUGGUUGUAAUACUAUUAUCACUAUGGGAGUCAACUGGUACUUGCUCAAAACUUAUAUAUAAUUUUUUUAAGGUUGACCUCAGAUCAGGUAGGGAUACCCGCUGAACUUAAGCAUAUCAAUAAGCGGAGGAAAAGAAACCAACAGGGAUUGCCUUAGUAACGGCGAGUGAAGCGGCAAAAGCUCAGAUUUGAAAUCUGGUGUUGUUAAACAUCCGAGUUGUAAUCUGUAGAGAAGUACUUUAUGUCAGACAUUAGCUUAAGUCCUUUGGAAUAGGGCGUCAUGGAGGGUGAGAAUCCCGUGCAUGGCUUUUGUUCUGUUCAUUUGUAAGUCUUCUUCAACGAGUCGAGUUGUUUGGGAAUGCAGCUCUAAAUGGGUGGUAAAUUUCAUCUAAAGCUAAAUAUUGGCAAGAGACCGAUAGCGCACAAGUAGAGUAAUCGAAAGAUGAAAAGAACUCUGGACAGAGAGUUAAACAGUACGUGAAAUUGUUGAAAGGGAAGCACUUGCUACCAGACGCACUUGCAGUUAAUCAGCCUCUAAUUUUAUUGGUGCACUUAGCUGUACGUGGGUCAGCAUCAGUUUUGUUGGCGGGAAAAAGAUUGGAGAAAUGUAGCUUCACUUGUGAAGUAUUAUAGUCUUCGGUUAGUACUGCCUGAUGGGACUGAGGACCGCACAUUUUGUGAGGAUGCUGGCAUAAUGGUCGUAAGUGACC